Molecule: ribosomal RNA, 273 nt
Filed under: Hyalomma asiaticum
Lineage: Eukaryota; Metazoa; Arthropoda; Arachnida; Ixodida; Ixodidae
Description: partial small subunit ribosomal RNA
Source: RNAcentral
UCUUAAGCUUUUCAGAGGAAUUUGCUCUUUAAUGGAUGAAACACCUUAACCUUACUUGGUCUAGUAAAAUUCAGUUUGUAUACCACUAUAAAAAUAAUAAUUUACUUUUAUUAUUAAAAUUCUUUUUUUAGAUAAAAAUUAAGUCAAGGUGCAGCUUAAGGCUAAGAAUGAAGUGAAUUACAUUUCUUAAAAGAAAAGAAAAGUGAAACAAAAUAUUAGGAUUUGAUAGUAAAAUUAAAAUAAAAAGUUAAUUUGAAUUAAGCUCUAAGAUAU